GUCCAAUAUCACAGAACCAUGCACCACUACAAAUUCCAAAAUAAAUACAUAAUGUCCAAAUCUUAGAGAAAAGGGUUUGAUAGUUCUGACAUCAAUAAGCAUCCCGACCACAAGAAGAUCUGCAUACCAAUAGACUCAACAACCCCAACUAAUGAACCAACCUCACAUAUAUGUCACGCCUCUUUGGGCAAUCCUUUUACUCUAAUUGACAUAGACCACAUUCUCCCCACUUGUUCCACUUCAUUAGUCGCAUUAUC
RNAcentral lists this long non-coding RNA (257 nucleotides) under Hordeum vulgare. RNAcentral's name for it is "long non-coding RNA (HVUL_LNC013937)". Lineage: Eukaryota; Viridiplantae; Streptophyta; Magnoliopsida; Poales; Poaceae. The record is from RNAcentral.